GAUGAAGAACGCAGCGAAAUGCGAUACGUAAUGUGAAUUGCAGAAUUCAGUGAAUCAUCGAGUCUUUGAACGCACAUUGCGCCCCCUGGUAUUCCGGGGGGCAUGCCUGUCCGAGCGUCAUUUCAACCCUCAUGCCCCUAGGGCGUGGUGUUGGGGAUCGGCCAAAGCCCGCGAGGGACGGCCGGCCCCUAAAUCUAGUGGCGGACCCGUCGUGGCCUCCUCUGCGAAGUAGUGAUAUUCCGCAUCGGAGAGCGAUGAGCCCCUGCCGUUAAACCCCCAACUUUCCAAGGUUGACCUCAGAUCAGGUAGGAAUACCCGCUGAACUUAAGCAUAUCAAUAAGCGGAGGA
This 348-nucleotide unclassified non-coding RNA is filed under the name soil metagenome. RNAcentral's name for it is "partial contains 5.8S ribosomal RNA, internal transcribed spacer 2, and large subunit ribosomal RNA". The stretch from base 1 to 120 matches the Rfam family "5.8S ribosomal RNA", at positions 35 to 154 of the family's 154-position model. The record is from RNAcentral.